This 492-nucleotide ribosomal RNA is filed under the name uncultured bacterium. RNAcentral describes it as "partial 16S ribosomal RNA". It matches the Rfam family "Bacterial small subunit ribosomal RNA", at positions 29 to 507 of the family's 1533-position model. The record is from RNAcentral.
AGUGAACGCUGGCGGUGGGCCUAACACAUGCAAGUCGAACGGCAGCACAGUAAGAGCCUGCUCUUACGGGUGGCGAGUGGCGGACGGGUGAGGAAUACAUCGGAAUCUACUUUUUCGUGGGGGAUAACGUAGGGAAACUUACGCUAAUACCGCAUACGACCUACGGGUGAAAGCAGGGGAUCUUCGGACCUUGCGCGAUUGAAUGAGCCGAUGUCGGAUUAGCUAGUUGGCGGGGUAAAGGCCCACCGAGGCGACGAUCCGUAGCUGGUCUGAGAGGAUGAUCAGCCACACUGGAACUGAGACACGGUCCAGACUCCUACGGGAGGCAGCAGUGGGGAAUAUUGGACAAUGGGCGCAAGCCUGAUCCAGCCAUACCGCGUGGGUGAAGAAGGCCUUCGGGUUGUAAAGCCCUUUUGUUGGGAAAGAAAAGCAGCAGGUUAAUACCCCGCUGUUCUGACGGUACCCAAAGAAUAAGCACCGGCUAACUUCGUG